CACGUAGGCGGCAUGGUAAGUCAUAGGUGAAAGCCCUCGGCUCAACCGAGGAACUGCCUUUGAAACUGCUUCGCUUGAGUCCGGGAGGGGGGAGCGGAAUUCCCAGUGUAGCGGUGAAAUGCGUAGAUACUGGGAGGAACACCGGUGGCGAAGGCGGCUCCCUGGACCGGUACUGACGCUGAGGUGCGAAAGCGUGGGUAGCAAACA
RNAcentral lists this ribosomal RNA (207 nucleotides) under uncultured bacterium. Its description in RNAcentral is "partial 16S ribosomal RNA". It matches the Rfam family "Bacterial small subunit ribosomal RNA", at positions 568 to 774 of the family's 1533-position model. The record is from RNAcentral.